RNAcentral lists this ribosomal RNA (430 nucleotides) under Pseudomonadota bacterium. RNAcentral's name for it is "Proteobacteria bacterium partial 16S ribosomal RNA". It matches the Rfam family "Bacterial small subunit ribosomal RNA", at positions 355 to 776 of the family's 1533-position model. The record is from RNAcentral. Lineage: Bacteria; Pseudomonadati; Pseudomonadota.
UGGGGAAUAUUGGACAAUGGGCGCAAGCCUGAUCCAGCCAUGCCGCGUGUGUGAAGAAGGCCUUAUGGUUGUAAAGCACUUUAAGCGAGGAGGAGGCUACUUUAGUUAAUACCUAGAGAUAGUGGACGUUACUCGCAGAAUAAGCACCGGCUAACUCUGUGCCAGCAGCCGCGGUAAUACAGAGGGUGCAAGCGUUAAUCGGAAUUACUGGGCGUAAAGCGCGCGUAGGUGGUUCGUUAAGUUGAAUGUGAAAGCCCCGGGCUCAACCUGGGAACUGCAUCCAAAACUGGCGAGCUAGAGUAGGGCAGAGGGUGGUGGAAUUUCCUGUGUAGCGGUGAAAUGCGUAGAUAUAGGAAGGAACACCAGUGGCGAAGGCGACAACCUGGGCUCAUACUGACACUGAGGUGCGAAAGCGUGGGGAGCAAACAGG